GUCGAAAGCGACCGGACCGGGUCCUGACCAGCCCCCCCAGCCCUCCCGGUCAAACAAGCGGUCGUCUUCGGCUUGCAAAGGACCCGCGCGGCUCGUCCCCUCCAGCCGCGCGGGUUUU
Molecule: small RNA, 118 nt
Filed under: Caulobacter vibrioides NA1000
Lineage: Bacteria; Pseudomonadati; Pseudomonadota; Alphaproteobacteria; Caulobacterales; Caulobacteraceae
Description: minimal medium expressed sRNA
Source: RNAcentral